AACAAACAUAAGCAUAAUCAUGGGAGAAAUUCUGGACAGAUUCAUGAUUCAAGCAUAACAGCAGGGCAUUAGCAGCAUCAAUUUCAUGUUUAUGGUUCAUCAACAUCAAACAAGUUUCAAGCACAAACACACAAUGUCAUGGCCUUAAUGCUCAUGUAGCAACAUAAUACAAACAAACUGAACAUGAGUCAUAUGGAUUUCUGGGCAGAGUAGGUUUAAAC
Molecule: long non-coding RNA, 221 nt
Filed under: Lathyrus oleraceus (garden pea)
Lineage: Eukaryota; Viridiplantae; Streptophyta; Magnoliopsida; Fabales; Fabaceae
Description: Pisum sativum (pea) long non-coding RNA (PSAT_LNC036089)
Source: RNAcentral